RNAcentral lists this ribosomal RNA (253 nucleotides) under uncultured bacterium. Its description in RNAcentral is "partial 16S ribosomal RNA". It matches the Rfam family "Bacterial small subunit ribosomal RNA", at positions 524 to 776 of the family's 1533-position model. The record is from RNAcentral.
UACGGGGGGGGCAAGCGUUGUUCGGAAUUACUGGGCGUAAAGGGUUCGUAGGUGGCCUGCUAAGUCAGACGUGAAAUCCCUCAGCUCAACUGGGGAACUGCGUCUGAGACUGGCAGGCUUGAGUGCAGGAGAGGAACGCGGAAUUCCAGGUGUAGCGGUGAAAUGCGUAGAUAUCUGGAGGAACACCGGUGGCGAAGGCGGCGUUCUGGACUGUUACUGACACUGAGGAACGAAAGCCAGGGGAGCAAACGGG